CCUUAUCAUCUCACUAACCUUUAACAUUGCUUUAAGCUGUCUGAAUACUGUCUGAAUAGUCUGAAUAGCUCCAAAGACGACAUCAAUAGAAGCCUCAUCCAUAAGAAUUAAACAUGGAGAAUAUGCUUGGCCUGUAUGCAUUUAACAUUUAAACUCUAAUUUAGUAAAAUCAUUUAAUAUACAAUGAAAAAAAAAAACGUAAUAUAUAACUUUGUCUCAAAUUCAAUAAGUAUAACAAUAGCUAAAUAUUCUUAUCAACUAAACAAAAGUCCUUAUCAUCUCACAAACCUUUAACACUGUUUCAUGAUUCUGAAUAGCUCAAAAGAUGACAUUGAAACUCCCUUCUUUAUAAGAUUUAAACUCUGACAUGAAUACUGGCAUGUAUACAUUGAACUUUCUAUCAUCAGGACCACAUAUUUAUAAACAACUAUGGGUUUCUCAUAAUCGCAACAUAAAACUUAUCUUCUUCAUAAACAUCUUCUUUUGGCAUCAUCAUGUUUGUAAUUAUGUGAAAUAUAUAUAAAAUUAUAUAUAUAUAUAGACAAAUUGUCAUUAUCAUGUAACAAAAUCUACUGUCAAAAUCUAUACACAAUCCAGCUUAUGAAUAUAUUGGAUUUAAUAUCCGAAUAUAUGUUUAUCUAUUUCUCCAAACACAUGGAGAUAAAAGACUAACAAUGAUUGUCACGAACAAACUAAAAUUAAACAAUCACGAUUUAGGUUUUCUUGACAAAACAAAAUUGAAAUCAAAAUUUAGAGGCUUCAAUUGCCAAUACUUACCCAUAUAAGAUCGGGUUCUUGACAAUCGCUACCCAAGAGUUCUGUUCAUUUAUAAAACUUGAAAGAUUGGAAAUUGAAUCAAAACAUUUAGAAAAAGUAAAAGACAAAAUCUGAAUCAAUAAUAAGCUUACCCCUUUGUAGAAUUCCGAUUUAACGAUGAACAGAUGAUAAACGGAGAUGUGGUAUCUUUAUUAUCAGACAAUUUUGCAUCAUAGGCUUAGAUCGAACAAGCGACUGAGAUUUUUAGGGUGUGUUUUAGAGAGGAAUAGACAAGAAAGUUCUAAAAACAUCGGCCCAAAAAAAAAU
This 1083-nucleotide long non-coding RNA is filed under the name Arabidopsis lyrata. Its description in RNAcentral is "long non-coding RNA (ALYR_LNC003347)". The record is from RNAcentral. Lineage: Eukaryota; Viridiplantae; Streptophyta; Magnoliopsida; Brassicales; Brassicaceae.